GAUGAACGCUGGCGGCGUGCCUAAUACAUGCAAGUCGAGCGAACAGAUGAGGAGCUUGCUCCUCUGACGUUAGCGGCGGACGGGUGAGUAACACGUGGAUAACCUACCUAUAAGACUGGGAUAACUGCGGGAAACCGGAGCUAAUACCGGAUAAUAUAUGUAGCCGCAUGGUUCAAUAGUGAAAGACGGUUUUGCUGUGACUUAUAGAUGGAUCCGCGCCGCAUUAGCUAGUUGGUAAGGUAACGGCUUACCAAGGCAACGAUGCGUGGCCGACCUGGGAGGGUGAUCGGCCACACUGGAACUGAGACACGGUCCAGACUCCUACGGGAGGCAGCAGUAGGGAAUCUUCCGCAAUGGGCGAAAGCCUGACGGAGCAACGCCGCGUGAGUGAUGAAGGUCUUCGGAUCGUAAAACUCUGUUAUUGGGGAAGAACAAAUGUGUAAGUAACUAUGCACGUCUUGACGGUACCUAAUCAGAAAGCCACGGCUAACUACGUG
Molecule: ribosomal RNA, 497 nt
Filed under: uncultured bacterium
Lineage: Bacteria
Description: partial 16S ribosomal RNA
Rfam family: Bacterial small subunit ribosomal RNA
Source: RNAcentral